Molecule: long non-coding RNA, 815 nt
Organism: Gadus morhua (Atlantic cod)
Lineage: Eukaryota; Metazoa; Chordata; Actinopteri; Gadiformes; Gadidae
Exons: 3
Source: RefSeq, a predicted model, not a curated record
AGGCUUGGCCCCUGAGCACUGGUGGAUUGCAGAAGUAUGCACUGUUCCUGGGAGUAGGGUAAAAAAAAGCCUUGUAAAUCACGGUUCACACGAGAUCUUCCUUGAAGUCGGAUCUUCAGAUAUUCAUGUCGGCCAUGAGCAUGGAAGAGCCAGACCCCAAGGCUUUGAGAAUGGAGGAAGAAAACCAGUGAAAAGAACGGUAACAUAAUUUACUAUAGGUGUUUCUUGUUUAUAAACAUUGCGCCUGGGCACGCCAAUCCGGGCAGAAAGUCAUCUACCAUUAUAGAAUGACUAUCAGAAAGCCCAGGUUAAAUGUAUUGUUUAUUAGUUGUGGUUAGCCUACUAAUCCCCCGUCUAACCAUGAAGGCUUGCAGACACACCCUCAACAUAUUCCCAAACAUACCUUUUGCAUAUUUGAGCCUUUGUCUAUCUAAUUAUUUGACUUUAAGAUGAAAGCUGCUUUCUAAGGUGCUAGCUAUGCUUACAUUACUUUACGACCUGUCACAUUUGAGAUGCACACGUUUGAGAUGCACACUGAACAGUCACAAAAUACUCUAUACUGUACAGGCUAGUAGAUGUUGCUUGCUUCUUUCUGCCCCGAGAUUGCACAGUGCAACAGUGAUGACGUACCUGAGAAAUCCAUGCAUUGAAGACCGGCAAAUAUAUAUAAAAUUAAGGCUUGUAACGUGAACGCUAUAAUAUGAAGGCUUUCUCAUAACUAUCCUGUUAGUGACAUUGUUCUUGUCUUGUUUCUAUCAGUAAUAUUUAUUUUAAUUCAUUGUUUUCUAUCUCAUGUAGGACCUUGAAAACAUGCA